Molecule: ribosomal RNA, 490 nt
Filed under: uncultured bacterium
Lineage: Bacteria
Description: partial 16S ribosomal RNA
Rfam family: Bacterial small subunit ribosomal RNA
Source: RNAcentral
GACGAACGCUGGCGGCGUGCUUAACACAUGCAAGUCGAACGGUGAAGCGCCUUCCUUUUUGGUGGGUGUGGAUGAGUGGCGAACGGGUGAGUAACACGUGAGUAACCUGCCCCCUUCUUCUGGAUAACCGCAUGAAAGUGUGGCUAAUACGGGAUAUUCUGGGUCUGUCGCAUGAUGGGUCUGGGAAAGAUAUUGUUUCGGUGGGGGAUGGGCUCGCGGCCUAUCAGCUUGUUGGUGGGGUGAUGGCCUACCAAGGCGGUGACGGGUAGCCGGCCUGAGAGGGUGGACGGUCACACUGGGACUGAGACACGGCCCAGACUCCUACGGGAGGCAGCAGUGGGGAAUAUUGCACAAUGGGCGCAAGCCUGAUGCAGCGACGCCGCGUGAGGGAUGGAGGCCUUCGGGUUGUGAACCUCUUUCGCCAGUGAAGCAGGCCUGCCUCGUUUGUGGGUGGGUUGACGGUAGCUGGAUAAGAAGCGCCGGCUAACUA